This is a non-coding RNA of Lactuca sativa (garden lettuce), 2438 nucleotides long. The record is from RefSeq and is a predicted model, not a curated record. Lineage: Eukaryota; Viridiplantae; Streptophyta; Magnoliopsida; Asterales; Asteraceae.
CAAAACCACAAACCAAACUGUAAAAAAAAUAUAAAUCGAAAAACCAAAACCGAUGACCGGUUUCAUGAUUUCAAACAGAACGGCGAUCACCUGGCAUGGCCAUAUGGGUUUGAAAUAAUACUCUAUGGAUUGGGUUGAUAUUUGAAAAGUAACUCACAACGUUUGUUUGUUUCAAUCAAAUUAAACACCUCUCUUUAUCUCUCUCCAAAUCCGGUAACCAUCCACCACCAGCCUUCAACCCACCGUCACCACCAUCCUCGUUGCCACCAUCGCCGGUCGACGCCAACUCAUACUAUUCAAACAACCUCCGCUCCCUCCAUCGCACCUACAAAACCCUAACCCCAGUCCCCAGAACUGCUGCCACUUGACACUACCCUUCCUUACCACCUCCAUCGACUUCUCCGCCACCUCAAACAACUCACCACCACCGGACAGCCACCACCAUGACGGUAUGCCUCUCGUUAUUUGAGGUUUAUAUGCUCUUCUCCAUUAUAAACCUUUGCAGUUCAGAUUUGGAUAUCCAGUUUUGAACUUUCAACUUUGAUCAGGUUUCUCCCUUGACUUUUUUUAUGACUUUCACAUGUUUAAUAAUAUACCUGGUUUUGUAGGGAAACAAGCACUAAACCAUAUAUUUGUUUCUUGAUUUACUGAUGAUUUAUCUUGAUGUCAGACAGACAGGAGGUUUGGUCCAACUGUUUAGGUUUUUUAAUAAAACUUGGAGAUUAAAUCGUUAUUUCUUUCUUUUUCUUGCAAAAAUUCGAUGAAGUGGCAAAUACGUUUAUGAGGGGGUAAAGCUUGACCAGAUCCACAGUAAUGGAUAUGAUGACAAUGUUAAUAUGGAAAAACCCAACAUGUUAAAAACUAAUAUCUUGAUCUAAACAACAGAAUGGAGAAUAAUAUUGAAAAAAUUGAACCAUUUGAUUAAUGUUAUUUUAUUAUUUCCCCCUAUAUAUUAUAUGGGUUCCGAUUUGAACAUGACUAUUUUUGUUAUUGAUAUACCAUUUUGGUGGUGUAGGAGGUGACAGGGGCAUUUUCUAAUUCUUAAUUUCUUAUAGUAGUGAAAUUUGGACCAUAAGGAUCAUUAUUCAUUAAAGUGGCUGAAAUCAAGAACUAAUAAGAGCUACAAGAAGUUGAAGUGAAGCAUGUUACUAUUUAAAAUCAAGUCCUUUUAUCAAGUACAAAGAGGAUAUUUGAAACUUCAGUGUUCAACUUACAAAUCCUGUUUACUUAGCCUCUCCAUUAAUUCGGGGAGUAGUUUGUGGAGCUACUACUUCUUAAUCUUUAUAGAUUAAAGAUUUUAACAUUUUGAUUUACCCUUUUUUAAGAUAACUCUUGAAACCAUAUUAUCAAACACAAAUGUUAAAAUCGGUGUAGAUUCUAAAUAACUUUCUUCACAUUAAAGGUAAAUUCCACUUGGGUGUAGAAGAUGUUGCUAUAGUUUUAUAUACUAAAUGGUUUUCGUACUUUUGUAUUGAUGACAACAUGAGAACUUAUAAGUGAAUGGACUGCCUGUUGCAAUUUUUGAAACUGAUUCAAGUAUAACUCCACAUCUUCAUGUUUAAAAUCUCAAAAAAAAAAAAAAAAAAGGUUUAAAGAUACAAACAAUUGUUAUGGUAAUUAUUUGCAUAGAUAAUUACAUUCUAGAGCGAUUCCUUUUUAUUGGUUUGAAAAUGAAUCAUUGCUUUUGGCAUCGCACUUUUCAGUUUUUCUUCUUAUUAUAUUCUAUUUUAGAAAAUUUACCCAAUUAUAUCGGUGAAAAGUGAUUUGUAUUUGGAUUAUAUUACUAUAAUUAGGUAAAAUUUCAAAAUAUAAAACUCUUAACACGAAGGAAUAGAAGUAUAAUGGUAUAGAAAAUAAAUCAAUGAGUUGAUUAAUGUUAAUCAUUUAAUAAUUCCAUUUAGUUUUUACCUACAUUUGGAUCAUUUCCUAUUGUUGCCCUCCUUCCUGCCUUUGCAAGUAAUUUUGUAUAAUUUUCUUGCUGCUAAUGUCCUAAAUGACCUUUUAUGAUAUACAGUUAUUUCUGUUAAAAGUUAAUAUAAAUAAAUUUGUUGAUUAUUUUCCAAAUUUUUAAGAAAUGAUUUAAAUAUUCAAAAUGCUAUAUUUGGAUAGAUUUUAUAAAGUAGAAUGCUUUGAUAGGAAAAAAAUGAAAGUAGAGUGACGUUUGGGUGAAUUCUCAAAGUGGUAGAUAGCUACAUUUAGACCGAAUGGUAUACCAACGACAAGGGCCAUCGUGGUAUACCUGGCCAUGAAAACGAGUCGUGCUCACUACCCCGGGACAUUCAUGGUCGGGCUUGGUCAUUGUGGCUCGUGUUCCGGACAACGAACGCAAACGGUCAAUCAGACCCUCUUUUUCGAUUUGGAAUGGAUGUAGCCGUUGAAUGACUAUUUUAAAAAAAAAUAAUUUAAUUUUUUAUAAACAAACAUUUUAUAUCUAUAAA